This 483-nucleotide ribosomal RNA is filed under the name uncultured bacterium. Its description in RNAcentral is "partial 16S ribosomal RNA". It matches the Rfam family "Bacterial small subunit ribosomal RNA", at positions 899 to 1397 of the family's 1533-position model. The record is from RNAcentral.
ACUCAAAUGAAUUGACGGGGAGGCGCACAAGCAGUGGAGCGUGUGGUUUAAUUCGAUUCAAAGCGAAGAACCUCACCAAGGUUUGACAUGUACCUGCAAGCGCACGGAAACGUGUGACCUUCGAGGGUGGUACACAGAUGCUGCAUGGCUGUCGUAAGUUCGUGGCGUGAGCUGUUCCCUUAAGUGGGUCAACGAGCGAAACCCGCAUUGUAUGUUAAAUAGUUCAUACAAAACUGCCUCAUUUUUUGAGGAGGAAGGAGCGGAUGACGUCAAGUCCGCACGGCUCUUACACCUUGGGCAACACACACCCUACAAUGGACAAUAACAACGAGUUGCAAACUGGUAACAGUAAGCUAAUCUCUAAAAUUUGUCCUCAGUUCAGAUUGAGGUCUGCAACCCGACCUCAUGAAGCAGGAAUUGCUAGUAAUCGCGAAUCAGCAGGUCGCGGUGAAUACGUUCUCGCCUCUUGUACACACCGCCCGU